Molecule: unclassified non-coding RNA, 153 nt
Filed under: uncultured Mortierella
Lineage: Eukaryota; Fungi; Mortierellomycota; Mortierellomycetes; Mortierellales; Mortierellaceae
Description: sequence contains ITS1
Source: RNAcentral
UAAUAAAGUGUUUUAUGGCACUUUUUAAAAAAUCCAUAUCCACCUUGUGUGCAAUGUUAGAUCUCGUCAAUCUUCUUGGCGAGGUUUUUAUACAUUAACUCAUUCUUUAACUAAUUUGUCUGAAAAAUAUUAUGAAUAACUUAAUUCAAAAUA